UGGGGAAUUUUGGACAAUGGGCGAAAGCCUGAUCCAGCCAUGCCGCGUGAGUGAAGAAGGCCUUCGGGUUGUAAAGCUCUUUUAGUCGGAAAGAAAGAGUUGCAAUGAAUAAUUGUGAUUUAUGACGGUACCGACAGAAAAAGCACCGGCUAACUACGUGCCAGCAGCCGCGGUAAUACGUAGGGUGCGAGCGUUAAUCGGAAUUACUGGGCGUAAAGGGUGCGCAGGCGGUCUUGCAAGUCAGAUGUGAAAGCCCCGGGCUUAACCUGGGAAUUGCGUUUGAAACUACAAGACUAGAGUGCAGCAGAGGGGGGUGGAAUUCCAUGUGUAGCAGUGAAAUGCGUAGAGAUGUGGAAGAACACCGAUGGCGAAGGCAGCUCCCUGGGUUGACACUGACGCUCAUGCACGAAAGCGUGGGGAGCAAACA
RNAcentral lists this ribosomal RNA (427 nucleotides) under uncultured bacterium. RNAcentral's name for it is "bacterial SSU rRNA". It matches the Rfam family "Bacterial small subunit ribosomal RNA", at positions 355 to 774 of the family's 1533-position model. The record is from RNAcentral.